RNAcentral lists this ribosomal RNA (2322 nucleotides) under Triticum aestivum (bread wheat). Its description in RNAcentral is "partial small subunit ribosomal RNA". Lineage: Eukaryota; Viridiplantae; Streptophyta; Magnoliopsida; Poales; Poaceae. The record is from RNAcentral.
CGGUGUAUGUCGUCUCGUGUUUCGUUGAUCGUUUUGUUUUUGUGUUCGAUCGGCAUCAUCAUUCUCGUUCAUCGGUCCUCGGGUUCGUUCGUUCGUCGGUACAGGUAGCAGUUCGCACGAAACCCGAAGCCGCCACCGAUGCCGGUCUCGUUCGGGCACUAUUCGAUGGUGUGGGUCUUGAGGCUGAGGCACUGGUGGCAGUACUGCCUCUAGUCGGUGUACUCGGAGUUGCUCUUCGUCCGCCCCAUGUUGCCGCGGCACGUCUUCUGCCGGAGGGAGUGCCUCGACACGAGACUCCUACGGCUCCACGUCUUCGUGCCGAUGCCCGUCGUCCGCAUGCCCCCGCUGCAGCCUCCCAAGCUGCGAGAGAAGGCGCUGUUGCGGCGCGUCUUCGUGCCGCUCGUCUUCCGCAGCAGCAUGGUCGUACUCUCGCCGCGGCCUCCCAUGUCGCGAGUGGUGGUGCUUUCGAGGCACGUCUUCGUGCUGCGGAUACCGCCCGUCUUUCGCAGCAGCAUGGUCGUACCUCCGAUGCUACGACAGUCGGUGCUGUCGUGGCCGCGGUGCGUCUUCGUACCGAUGCCACUCGUCUUUCGAAUACCUCGACUUCGGGUGGCGCUGUCGAGCCGCGUCUUCGUGCCGAUGCCGCUCGUCUUCCGCAUGCCACCAGUGGUGGUCCUGCCGUUCCAGGUCUUCUCGCCGAUACCGCCGCUCGUAUGCCGCAUGGUGGUCCUGUCGUUCCAGGUCUUCGUACCGAUGCCGCUCUUCCGCGUGCCGAUGCCGCUCGUCUUCCGAAUGCUGUCGUUCCAGGUCUUCGUGCCGAUGCCGCUCGUCUGCCGCAUGCUGUCGUUCCAGGUCUUCGUGCCGAUGCCGCUCGUCUGCCGCAUGCUGUCGUUCCAGGUCUUCGUGCCGAUGCCGCUCGUGUUCCGCAUGCUGUCGCGCCAGGUCUUGGUCUUCGUGCCGAUGCCGCUCGUACCCUCGCGGUGGCGGCGGGAGGUCGUGCUGUCGAUGCCGCCGCGCUUCUUCGUGCCGAUGCCGCCGCUCGUCUUCCGCAUGUUCGUGCCGCGACGUCGCCCUCCCAUGCUGCGGCAGGUGGUGUUGUCGAGUCACGUCUUGAUGCCGAUGCCGCUCGUCUUCCGCAGCAUGGUCGUGCCCUCGCUGCGGCCUCCCAUGCCGCCACAGGUGGUGCCGAUGCCACCACCCGUCUUCCGAAUGCCCGUGCCGCGACUACGGCCUCCCAUGCUGCGACGAAAGGUCAUGCCGCCGGGCUUCGUCUGCUUCGUGCCGAUGCCGCCGCCCGUCUACCGGCCUCCCAUGCUGAGACGAAAGGUCGUGCCGCCGAUACCGCCCGUCUUCCGCAGCAUGGUCGUUCCCACGCUGCCGCCGUAGCGGCCCAUGCUGCGCGAGCAGGUCUUCUUCGUCCCCUCGAUGCAGCCGCCCGUGUUACGCAUGGGCGUCGUUCCCACGCGGCCGCCGCUGCAGCGUCCCAUACUACGAGAACAGGCUGAGGCCGUCUACGUCUUCGUCGUCGUCAUGUUGGUCCGGCCUACGCUCUCGCUGCUUCUCUCGCUCCUCCUAUCGCUGACGCUUCUCCUCCACGACCCGCCGCCUAUGCCGUACGUAUUUAUGCGGCGGCCGUCGUGGUACGGGCCGCCGUGCGUCAUGAUGAGGCGCAUGCUCGCGGCGGUCGUCGAGCCGCCGCCCUCGGUCAUGCUCCGCAUGCUCUCGAGGUGGUGGGUCCCCAUGAGGCCGCCGCCGAUGCCGCCGCCCACCCGCGUCGGGUUCUUCGUGUCGAUGAUGACUCGAGGACGCAGGACGGGUGGCCGCUGCUGAUGGACGCACUAUGUUAGGAUGGAUGUCACUAUGAAUAGACGAGUACGAGGACGUACACAUACGGUCAUAAACCACCUGGAAACGUAACGUUUUCACAGAUUUAUUCUACAUGAAGAUUGACUAUAAGACGUAGGUGGUAUUCACCGUAGCCAUGUUAUUAAAUGAUCAUGUGUUCAGACUAAUAAUCGUACGCAGAGAGAGACGUUGUACGAGAACUACCAGCAGCACCAUUCACCCAUUGGGUACAUGUCUAGACCGGGGCCUCGAAGUCGAUAUGAUCAUCCGUCGACGAUAAAAGUACUUGCUAUGACUCGUGCAUUCCCGGUCCAAAGGACUUGUCUUUGGAUUAUACCAAGGACACGUGGCACACUAAAGCAGAUCUGACUUCAGCUUAAACCACCGCACUAGGGAACUAGGUUCAUUAUGAAGAAGAGCCGUAGCCGGUCGGAACGGACCUUAUAGGGGGUGAGAAAAGAUGUGGCAGGAGAAUGG